AAAGAAGACAGACUGGAGGGAAAUAACAGAGAUUCUGAGCGGCUGUUAUGUAAACCCGCCUGGUCCUCUGUGUCUCGUCUCAUCGUUUAAAUGGAGGCGGCGUGCUGGCACCAUGACAACACUGGCUGGGAGGCAUGAAGAACAUCCCAUCCUGAUGAAGGGGAGGGCCAGACAGCACACUGAGGGCGGAUGAAGGGAGAGAUGACGGAAGAGAGGAAGAAUGAACACAUGAACUCAUUCAACAUAUUUUUAGGAAAAUGUGUGAUGAUGUAACUAAACUAGAAUUUCUAAUUAUUUAGUUUUGGCAAAUGAAUGGAAGUUUUCUGCAUCCUGUAAUGUCAGUGCAGACGGGAGCUCAAACUUUAAAAAGAAGGUAUCUCACCAUUACAUUUGGAAACAGGAUGUUAUGUUGGUGCUGGAGAACAGGAUCAGCUUUGUCAUGUAUGUGUGUUAAAAAAGUAGAAAAUGAAAUGAGUUUUGUUUUGUAUUGUGCUUUGUAUUAUAACUCCAGAAAGAAGUUGUUCAAUAAAACUAAAAAUGAUUAUU
Molecule: long non-coding RNA, 546 nt
Organism: Thunnus maccoyii (southern bluefin tuna)
Lineage: Eukaryota; Metazoa; Chordata; Actinopteri; Scombriformes; Scombridae
Exons: 3
Source: RefSeq, a predicted model, not a curated record